CAGCGUGCUCUCAUAAGGACCGGGGCUUGUUUGUAGCUCUUAUGUUCUCAAAGUGCAUGCAAGAGAAUUGGGUGGUCUUUGACUGCUGUGGCCUCCUCUGCCACCAGCAGCCACUCUACUGUCCUACAGAU
Gasterosteus aculeatus aculeatus (three-spined stickleback) is the source of this 131-nucleotide small nucleolar RNA. Lineage: Eukaryota; Metazoa; Chordata; Actinopteri; Perciformes; Gasterosteidae. The record is from Ensembl.